GGCUCUGUGAUUACAUGCCCCUUUCUUGUGGGCGAUAUACGCUAUUCCGACUCCAAGAAUCGUGAGCUGAAAAUCCAAUGUGUUUCUUAUGAGAGCC
Small nucleolar RNA from Syzygium oleosum, 97 nucleotides. RefSeq annotates it as small nucleolar RNA U54. The transcript has a single exon. Lineage: Eukaryota; Viridiplantae; Streptophyta; Magnoliopsida; Myrtales; Myrtaceae. The record is from RefSeq and is a predicted model, not a curated record.